CACCAACUUCCCUACUGCAAUACACCCACUACACCUACUCCUUUACAGGCAUUCAAGCCAUGCCUGCUUUACAGGCAUUCAAGCCAUGCCUUUACAGUCAGACUCCUCAUCUGCAAUACAACUAUACAUCAACCAAGUUUCUGCCUUUUUCCAUUAGGCACAAAUUAAUUGAUCACUCACCACAUAUCACUUCGCAAGAAAGAAACUCAGAUUCAUAAGUCUAUACAAAAUAUAUUCCAAGCUCAUCUCCUUCAACAAUCCAGAAACAAACAGACACCACCAUCUCAUUCAAGGCUUUGUGACCAGGGGGAUUAGCGCUGCUUCCCAAGACAGGUUUAUAUGUGAUUAUGAUCUUCAGGCUUUGCCUAACCAGGUUGAGCAGUUGAUGGAAUGGAAUGAUGUUGAGCGGGUGUUCCUUUGACAUUUCAAGAAAUGUAACCUUGAGUAUACAUCUUCAUAUGUAUAUCUCACACGUUUUCCACUGCAAAACACUUUGAUUAGGAUAACUUUAUGUUAUGAAAUUGUGACACGUGUUAUUGGGUAACCCACCUUAAUCAGUUCUCAUUUAUGUGUAUGUUUUAUAAGUAUCCAAAUAAUCAUAUAUGAUCCUAGCAUUUUAUCUAUGAGUGACAUUUCCAUAUACUUUAAUGUUAAGUAAUUGUCCAUUUCCA
Molecule: long non-coding RNA, 671 nt
Organism: Salvia miltiorrhiza (redroot sage)
Lineage: Eukaryota; Viridiplantae; Streptophyta; Magnoliopsida; Lamiales; Lamiaceae
Exons: 3
Source: RefSeq, a predicted model, not a curated record